AGAAGCCUUAAUCUCCUUUGUCCAGUUUUGAGGGUGAAAUCUGCAAAGAACUUUAGCAGUGAGAAGAAACAGCCGACGUUUGGACUUUCAGACCUCCUGGAAAAAGGCCAAACUUCAAUAAACUCCAGAAUAUUAUUGUGUGAAUUAAAAUAUUCACAUGGUAUUAACCA
This is a long non-coding RNA of Suricata suricatta (meerkat), 170 nucleotides long. RefSeq lists it as uncharacterized. The transcript is spliced from 2 exons. NCBI's taxonomy places the organism in Eukaryota, Metazoa, Chordata, Mammalia, Carnivora, Herpestidae. The record is from RefSeq and is a predicted model, not a curated record.